CACCUGUGUUGUUGUUUUCUGAAAUGCGGUCCUGCAGUACGGCAUGUGGGACCAGAUCCGUGUAGACCACGGAAAAGAGUUCUACUUGACCCUCUUCAUGCAGGAGAAACUGGCAAGCCACAGAAAUAACACAGUGAGGCAGCCAUAUUUGCAAACGGCGUCAACACAGAAUCAUAUUGUUGAAAGGAUGUGGGCAGAAGUCAACAACAGAGUGAACUACCCACUGAAAACGGCUCUCCUCCAGCUCGUAGACCAGGAGGAACUUGACAUGGAGGACAACGUGACACGAUACUGUGUCUCCACACUCACAUGUCAGGUAGCAGAGCUUGGACUUGGUCGGAUGGUGCAGUCCUGGAAUGCACACAGGAUCCAAGGAAAAGGUUUUCCAAAUCAACUGGCUCUGGGUGGAUGCCCAAAGAAACUGCCGGCAGAUUGUUUGCCAGAGGCUGCAGAAGCUGCACAAGCUUACCGCCAGGAAGUGGGGUCAUCGCUGACGCAAGUCUCCCUUUUUGGGAGAAACCCAUUCUCCACAGCUGAACAACAAACAGCAGCUGAAAAUGAAUUUGCACAGCAAUACUUGGACAUUUCUGUGCUCUACGACAAUGCUGUGAACAACAAUCCGACCAGUUAUCAAAGCGGGAUCAAGGACCUCAUCAACAUUGUAAAGAGAUAUGUGUAGAGAGAUCUGAAACGUCACCAACAUUUUUGUAACAUAAUGUUCUUCAUAUAUUUUUAUUUUUUCUGACUUUGUUUUUGUUAUUCUUGUAUUAAAGACUGUUGUUUUUUCA
Molecule: long non-coding RNA, 788 nt
Organism: Acanthochromis polyacanthus (spiny chromis)
Lineage: Eukaryota; Metazoa; Chordata; Actinopteri; Pomacentridae
Exons: 3
Source: RefSeq, a predicted model, not a curated record